AAUGAAUUCUCUCCUCUCUUUCAACCUCACUUGGACCAUACCAUUGUUGCCCUCCAAGACUUUCCUCUAGCUACUGAACAGGAGGUGGCUGCACUUCUCCUCUCUUCCCACCACCUGUCGGCUUGAUCCAGUACCUUCCCACCUCAUGAGAACUCUCACCCCUUGUCUUGUACCAUCCUUAACACACAUCCUAAACUGCUCUCUUUCAUCUGUUGUGUUGUCCCUGCUCCCCUUAAGCAUGCAACUGUCGUAUCCAGCCUUAAAAAGCCAUGCAUAG
Non-coding RNA from Pelobates cultripes (western spadefoot toad), 277 nucleotides. NCBI's taxonomy places the organism in Eukaryota, Metazoa, Chordata, Amphibia, Anura, Pelobatidae. The record is from the annotation of a GenBank genome assembly.